CUCAGCUUCACCACCAUUUGCAUUUGCCUACCGGUCGCUAAGAAUGAAGAAGAGAACCUAACGAACGGCACCGGAGAAGAAGCUAGUUGAAAAAGUUUAGAAGGACUCAUAUGGACAAUAUGGACAAUAUGGAAGAACUCAGACUAUAUUAUUUUAUGUUCAUAUGUUAUAUUUUCCUACUGAAUGUCAUGAUUGCCGCAUAUGCAAUAAAGCAGACCACUAUACAAAAUAGUAUGGUCCAACACGAGAUUGAUACGACAUCUGUUAGGCGCCGCAAACAAUAUGAAUACUUUCGUCGACUGGUAUACGAAAGCGAUAUUCAGUGUAUUGAUAAACUACGCAUGGAUCGCCAAUGUUUCCAUAGUUUAUGCCAAUUGCUAACCAUUACCGGUGGUUUGCGUGGUACAAGAAAUGUUUUGGUUGAGGAGAUGAUCGCAAUGUUUUUGAAUAUUGUGGCACACCAUGUCAAGAAUAGGGUAAUUAAGUUUGAUUUCGUCCGAUCUGCCGAAACAGUUAGUCGGCAUUUCCAUGCCGUUUUAAAGGCUAUCACUCUUUAUCAUAAAGUGUUAUUAAAGAAACCAGAACCUGUCCUCGAGGAUUCAAUUGAUUUUCGGUGGAAAUGGUUCAAGAAUUGCCUUGGAGCACUAGAUGGAACACAUAUCAAAGUAAAUGUGCCUAAA
Molecule: long non-coding RNA, 680 nt
Organism: Dioscorea cayenensis subsp. rotundata (Guinea yam)
Lineage: Eukaryota; Viridiplantae; Streptophyta; Magnoliopsida; Dioscoreales; Dioscoreaceae
Exons: 4
Source: RefSeq, a predicted model, not a curated record